GAACGUACCCAGAUCUAAGGAAUAGCCACUGGAAACGGUGAGUAAUACCUUAUACGCCCUUCGGGGGAAAGAUUUAUCGGAUCUGGAUCGGCCCGCGUUAGAUUAGGUAGUUGGUGGGGUAAUGGCCUACCAAGCCUACGAUCUAUAGCUGGUUUUAGAGGAUGAUCAGCAACACUGGGACUGAGACACGGCCCAGACCCCUACGGGAGGCAGCAGUGGGGAAUCUUAGACAAUGGGCGCAAGCCUGAUCUAGCCAUGCCGCGUGAGUGAUGAAGGCCUUAGGGUCGUAAAGCUCUUUCGCCUGUGAUGAUAAUGACAGUAGCAGGUAAAGAAACCCCGGCUAACUCCGUGCCAGCAGCCGCGGUAAUACGGAGGGGGUUAGCGUUGUUCGGAAUUACUGGGCGUAAAGCGCACGUAGGCGGAUUAGAAAGUUAGGGGUGAAAUCCCGGGGCUCAACCUCGGAACUGCCUCUAAAACUCCUAGUCUAGAGUUCGAGAGAGGUGAGUGGAAUUCCAAGUGUAGAGGUGAAAUUCGUAGAUAUUUGGAGGAACACCAGUGGCGAAGGCGGCUCACUGGCUCGAUACUGACGCUGAGGUGCGAAAGUGUGGGGAGCAAACAGGAUUAGAUACCCUGGUAG
RNAcentral lists this ribosomal RNA (637 nucleotides) under uncultured Roseovarius sp. RNAcentral describes it as "bacterial SSU rRNA". It matches the Rfam family "Bacterial small subunit ribosomal RNA", at positions 122 to 793 of the family's 1533-position model. The record is from RNAcentral. Lineage: Bacteria; Pseudomonadati; Pseudomonadota; Alphaproteobacteria; Rhodobacterales; Roseobacteraceae.